AGUCGAGCGGUAGAGAGAAGCUUGCUUCUCUUGAGAGCGGCGGACGGGUGAGUAAUGCCUAGGAAUCUGCCUGGUAGUGGGGGAUAACGUUCGGAAACGGACGCUAAUACCGCAUACGUCCUACGGGAGAAAGCAGGGGACCUUCGGGCCUUGCGCUAUCAGAUGAGCCUAGGUCAGAUUAGCUAGUUGGUGGGGUAAUGGCUCACCAAGGCGACGAUCCGUAACUGGUCUGAGAGGAUGAUCAGUCACACUGGAACUGAGACACGGUCCAGACUCCUACGGGAGGCAGCAGUGGGGAAUAUUGGACAAUGGGCGAAAGCCUGAUCCAGCCAUGCCGCGUGUGUGAAGAAGGUCUUCGGAUUGUAAAGCACUUUAAGUUGGGAGGAAGGGCAGUAAAUUAAUACUUUGCUGUUUUGACGUUACCGACAGAAUAAGCACCGGCUAACUCUGUGCCAGCAGCCGCGGUAAUACAGAGGGUGCAAGCGUUAAUCGGAAUUACUGGGCGUAAAGCGCGCGUAGGUGGUUCGUUAAGUUGGAUGUGAAAUCCCCGGGCUCAACCUGGGAACUGCAUUCAAAACUGACGAGCUAGAGUAUGGUAGAGGGUGGUGGAAUUUCCUGUGUAGCGGUGAAAUGCGUAGAUAUAGGAAGGAACACCAGUGGCGAAGGCGACCACCUGGACUGAUACUGACACUGAGGUGCGAAAGCGGGGGGAGCAAACAGGAUUAGAUACCCUGGUAGUCCACGCCGUAAACGAUGUCAACUAGCCGUUGGGAGCCUUGAGCUCUUAGUGGCGCAGCUAACGCAUUAAGUUGACCGCCUGGGGAGUACGGGCCGCAAGGUUAAAACUCAAAUGAAUUGACGGGGGCCCGCACAAGCGGUGGAGCAUGUGGUUUAAUUCGAAGCAACGCGAAGAACCUUACCAGGCCUUGACAUCCAAUGAACUUUCUAGAGAUAGAUUGUGCCUUCGGGACAUUGAGACAGUGCUGCAU
This 989-nucleotide ribosomal RNA is filed under the name uncultured bacterium. RNAcentral's name for it is "bacterial SSU rRNA". It matches the Rfam family "Bacterial small subunit ribosomal RNA", at positions 60 to 1046 of the family's 1533-position model. The record is from RNAcentral.